Alosa alosa (allis shad) is the source of this 2898-nucleotide RNA transcript. It is a transcript of the gene named Fc receptor-like protein 5, with no coding region annotated. NCBI's taxonomy places the organism in Eukaryota, Metazoa, Chordata, Actinopteri, Clupeiformes, Clupeidae. The transcript is spliced from 13 exons. The record is from RefSeq and is a predicted model, not a curated record.
UCUCUUUUGGACAUGCACGGAAAGUGAAGAAGCAGCCACAUGCUUGCCACCGUGAGUUAGAUUGACUCGACAUGAAGGAAAGAGAAGGACUCUGGUUGUUGAUUGCAAUUUUGUUAACUGGCCAAGUGACUGUUGCUGGCGGGCCUGUUUCUUCCCUGGCAGUUCUGAAGGGCCCGGAACUAGCUUACCUCAACAAAAGAGUUAAGUUUUCCUGUGAGGUCCUAGGUUCACUUCCAUCAGCCACCUACCAGUUUAUGAAGGUGAAAGAUAUCCCAAUUACCACAAAGAAACAUUUAUCUGCAGGUCAGCCACCCAUUUUAUACUUAAAGGUCACUAAUACCUCAGCCGGAGCAUACUACUGCAAAGUGACAGUGCUGGGAAAAUCAAGUACCAGCAACAUUCUAAACCUGAAAGUAGUGAUUCCAGUCUCAGGUGCCAGCCUCCUGUCUGUGCCCAGUCCUCCUACAGUGUUUGAAGGAUCCUCACUGACUCUUUACUGUGAAGUUCAGAAGGGCUCUCACCUCUCCUACACAUGGUAUCACAACAGACUGGAAGUGAAAGCUUCCUCACACAUGCAUAACCUUUCUGGCAACUUACUUAAAGUGGACAAGCUGACAAAGUGGCAUGCUGGAAGUUACUCCUGCUCUGCAUGGAAUGAUAUAGGAGUUAGCCCACGCUUCUCCAGUAGCAAUGAAAUACAUGUCACAGUCAAAGUCAACAUUUCUGCACCAAAGCUGUCAUUCACACUCUACAGAGAGAAUGCCAGUUACUAUGCCAACUUGACUUGUGAGUCAGCUCAGGGCAGUGUUCCAGUUACAUUCCUGUUAUUCCUGGAGGGGCAGGAGAUUGAUCGGCAGGUCGCCAACUCCCUGACUGUAUGGUUCACUCUGCCAAUGAUGGUAGGAAUGGACAUGGUCUCAGCACAGUGCAGAGCAGAGACAAGUCACCAACAACUGACCAGCAACCUUCUUAAUCUAGAAAUGGCUCCUGUAGGGGGUCCUGUGUAUCUGCACACUGAAUACUUAUACAAUACUAACUGGCAAGUAGUAGCUAUGCGACUGCAAUGUGACAUCAACAGAGGUACCUUUCCCUCCAUCUCUUGGCUCCAUAACAACUCAUUCCUGCAUCAGAAGGACUGCUCUAAAAUCUCCAAUGACAAGUGCCAUGUCCUCUUCCUGACUGAUAUCACACCAGUGAAUUUUGGGUAUUACCAGUGCCUUGUGAAGGACAGUUUCAACAUCAAUGCAUCUUGGGUGCAGAGUAACAUUGUCCUUGUGGAGUCAAUAGAUUUACCUACAAUUACAACUGAGGUCAUAGCUGUUGUGUUCUGCUGCACCUUGCUGAUUGUCAUGAUGGGAAGCCUGUUCUGCAUAUUUUGGAUGCUUAACUAUCCAGUCUUGCAAACAGAAGGUGUUACCAUACCUGAACAGCACAGCACAGCCACAUCUAUUGAAGCCUUACAAUGUCACCUUCAUCAAAAUGGGAGCUGUGUUGACCUGGACAAGUCCAACCGCCCACAUAACUAACAUCACAUAUACAGCACAGUACAGUUGGGGAAAGAGAUCUUUUAAAAGCAUAGAUACAUGUAUUGAAGUGAAAGAACUUUGCUGUGGCUUAAAGCUACCUUCAACCUAUGGGAUAUAUACUUUUAGAGUAAGGGCCCACCUGCAAGGAACCACAUCUGAAUGGGUUAAAAGUACAGAGACCAAAGUUACUAAAUUUACAGAUCCUCCAGUUGUGUCUAUGGUUUUGAGAUAUGGAGUCAUGGAGCUGAAUAUUACAGAGCCCGAGUAUGACCUCAGUUGUUUCUUAGUAAACAAUGUCACCUACAACAUCACCUACUGGAGACAGCACCUGGAGAAUGAGCAGACAUGGCAGAGAACAGUUCAGCAAAGAAAAGUACACAGGUUGCCUGUGUCUGGGCUGCCAUCAGAAGGACUGUGUGUAAAAGUACACACUGUGUAUGCAGCCUUCAAUAAUGCUGGAGUACAGUUCGAAACAGCAGGUCCUCCCAGUAAACCAGUGUGUGCUCUAAAUUCUCCACAUGGCGAACCUAAGUAUAGUAAGAUUUCCUCUUUUACUCCUAGACAAUUUCAUUGAUUGUCUUCUUACUCUUUGUCAAAUUCAUUGUCUUGCAACUGCUUUUGUACUGAUUAUAUUUUUCUGUCGAUGUGGAGUUCAUUCAUACACAGCCCUGGUAGGGUGCUUAACAUCUCUAGCUGUACUUUCUGUGCUGAUACUGGGCUGGUGUGUCUACAAAGGCCAAAACUUCCUUUACCCAAAUGCAGCACUACCACAACAACUCAUACAGUGUCCCCCAGAGAGAUGCUUUGACAUGCCCCAAAUGUUGCUCCAUGCAGAAGAGCCAUACGAGCACAUCAGUGUAUGGGAGCCACAGUGUGAGACGCACAACAGUGAGGAAAUGAGUGCUGUGAGAGUCUCUGAUGGAGUCAGUAAUAUCUGUGUGUAUGAAUCUCUGAGCAUUGUCUGUAUGAGUGAGGAAACUGUGUUUCACAGGAUGGCAGAACCUACAAACAAUGGUAUGCUUGAGCAACGCUAUUACAAUGUGCUCUCCUAAAGCAAUAUCUAAGACAAAUUUCAGAACCCCCUUAUCCCUUUCUCCAUGAAUUUGUCUAAAAAAGUAAGCAUGCCUACAUAAUCGUUUUGUGUUAUUUAGCAAAAGCUAAUUAAAUUCAAUGAAAUAAAGAAGCUGUUAUAAACAAUUAUGUUUAUGUUGAUUGACAUACACUUUUGUCCAAAGUGAUUCUUGGCAAACUAAUUAUUGGAGCCCCUGAAUAUAUUUUGUAAAGCCUCUCUUUACCAAAAGGCAGUGAUCACACUGGAAAUAAUGAAGCUGCUGUGGGAAAGUGUAAUGAAAUGCUCAGACCAUAAUCAAGC